AUUCAUCAAAAAAUUAAAAAUUAUAAAAAAUCUUUAAAAGUACAAAUAUCUUUAUAAUUUUUAUGAAAUAUAAAUUUAAAAAGUUAUAGUUAGAAGUGCUCUUUUAAGCUUAUGGGAGCAAUAUCAUCAUUGAGAACAUUAUGCCUGCUUUAUAAAGAACACUUCAACAAUGUAUAAUUUUAGUAUUGCGCUAAAUCGUAAAAGGAUGAAGAAUUUAAGAAGAUCCGUAAUUUUUUAAUAAAAGUGGCACAAUAUUAAUAAUUUCUCAACAUUUCUCAGAAGGUGCAAAUCCGUAAAAAACUCUUAAACAUAUACAUUCUCUAAAGUUUUCCUAGGCAAUAUCGAACAAAAAUCAUCCAAAUUAGCAGACAUCGAUUUUAAAAGUUGAGUCACCUGACACGAAAUUGCGUAUGUGUAUUCAAAGCUUACUUCUAA
Lucilia cuprina (Australian sheep blowfly) is the source of this 435-nucleotide long non-coding RNA. RefSeq lists it as uncharacterized. The record is from RefSeq and is a predicted model, not a curated record. Lineage: Eukaryota; Metazoa; Arthropoda; Insecta; Diptera; Calliphoridae. The transcript is spliced from 3 exons.